Molecule: ribosomal RNA, 497 nt
Filed under: uncultured bacterium
Lineage: Bacteria
Description: partial 16S ribosomal RNA
Rfam family: Bacterial small subunit ribosomal RNA
Source: RNAcentral
GAUGAACGCUGGCGGCGUGCCUAAGACAUGCAAGUCGAGCGAACGGACGAGAAGCUUGCUUUUCUGAUGUUAGCGGCGGACGGGUGAGUAACACGUGGAUAACCUACCUAUAAGACUGGGAUAACUUCGGGAAACCGGAGCUAAUACCGGAUAAUAUUUUGAACCGCAUGGUUCAAAAGUGAAAGACGGUCUUGCUGUCACUUAUAGAUGGAUCCGCGCUGCAUUAGCUAGUUGGUAAGGUAACGGCUUACCAAGGCAACGAUGCAUAGCCGACCUGAGGGGGUGAUCGGCCACCCUGGAGCUGAGACACGGUCCAGACUCCUACGGGAGGCAGCAGUAGGGAAUCUUCCGCGAUGGGCGAAAGCCUGACGGCGCACCGCCGCGUGAGUGAUGACGGUCUUCGGAUCGUAAAACUCUGUUAUUAGGGAAGAACAUAUGUGUAAGUAACUGUGCACAUCUUGACGGUACCUAAUCAGAAAGCCACGGCUAACUACGUG